AGGUACUCUUGACUUGAUUAGAAAACUUUCUAAAUUUCUUUAUUUAUAAAAGAAAUGCCUGUCUUUACAAUGGUAAUUUACCAUAAUUUUGGUUGGGAUAUUGUUUAGUUAUGGCUUUUGCUUGAGAAUAUGACUUGUUUACUUAGUAGAUACAAUACAGAGUUUAAUUGUUUUGGCUAAGUUUUGUUUGGAUUCCUUUAAGUGAUCUAUAUUGGUUUAUUGGUUUCUAUUCUCUCUAAAAUAGCAGCAUUAAAAUUGUGUUUUGUUCAAGCUUACAUAUGACAGUCUUUCUCUUUGCAGAUAAACGUUUGCACUUGUUCCUCUGUAUCUGUG
This 333-nucleotide unclassified non-coding RNA is filed under the name Hevea brasiliensis (rubber tree). The record is from RNAcentral. Lineage: Eukaryota; Viridiplantae; Streptophyta; Magnoliopsida; Malpighiales; Euphorbiaceae.